AUUGAACGCUGGCGGCAUGCUUUACACAUGCAAGUCGAACGGUAACAGGUUAAGCUGACGAGUGGCGAACGGGUGAGUAAUGCAUCGGAACGUGCCCGGUCGUGGGGGAUAACGCAGCGAAAGCUGCGCUAAUACCGCAUACGAUCUAAGGAUGAAAGCGGGGGACCGUAAGGCCUCGCGCGAUCGGAGCGGCCGAUGUCAGAUUAGGUAGUUGGUGGGGUAAAGGCUCACCAAGCCAACGAUCUGUAGCUGGUCUGAGAGGACGACCAGCCACACUGGGACUGAGACACGGCCCAGACUCCUACGGGAGGCAGCAGUGGGGAAUUUUGGACAAUGGGCGAAAGCCUGAUCCAGCAAUGCCGCGUGCAGGAAGAAGGCCUUCGGGUUGUAAACUGCUUUUGUACGGAGCGAAAAGGUCUCCUCUAAUACAGGGGGCUCAUGACGGUACCGUAAGAAUAAGCACCGGCUAACUACGUGCCAGCCGCCGCUUAA
RNAcentral lists this ribosomal RNA (492 nucleotides) under uncultured bacterium. Its description in RNAcentral is "partial 16S ribosomal RNA". It matches the Rfam family "Bacterial small subunit ribosomal RNA", at positions 30 to 522 of the family's 1533-position model. The record is from RNAcentral.